This 602-nucleotide long non-coding RNA is filed under the name Castor canadensis (American beaver). RNAcentral describes it as "lncRNA (ENSCCNG00000016180.1)". Lineage: Eukaryota; Metazoa; Chordata; Mammalia; Rodentia; Castoridae. The record is from RNAcentral.
GGAAUCGGCUGCCUUUGCUGCCGUGACAACCAGUUUUCCUACUCUCACAUCUUACAGCUAGCAUCAAAGUGGGACGCAGCGGAACUACAUUUCCCAGCAGCCCUCGCGCGGGCUCUUGCCCUUCCGUGCAGCGGUCCCAAAACCUCAGUGCCACAGACGCCUGGAGGAGGCGAAAGGAAAGCUGGGCGCUGUGUGCGCGUCGGGGACCAGGAGACCCGUGGGGGCUGCCUCCAGCGAGCAAACGCUCAACAACCGAGCUACAUGCCCAGCCCAGGCCUGUGUGUUGAAGGUUGCUUUUCCAUGAGGCCCAACCCGGAAGGAUGGAGGUUUCAUGGAGAGAACAAGCAGAGAAUGGAGUCGUGCCUGCAGAUGAGGCUGCUGUUUCUGAGAGAGCCAUGCUUACCUGGUCCAAGUGGGGAAGGGCAGGCCCAGUGUUGGACCCUGUGACAUUGUCCUCCUGACUAGGCUCUUAGGUUCCAGGUGAGUCCUGUUUUACACCUCCCAGAAGAGAUGGAUGGGGGCAGGCAGGUGAAUGGGGUCAGGCCUUGCCAAGGCAGGGAGCCAGGAGUAUUGAGGGCACUGAGCUUGCCUCUGGAGGACUA